Molecule: transfer RNA, 111 nt
Filed under: bacterium
Lineage: Bacteria
Description: tRNA-OTHER
Rfam family: tRNA
About the family: Transfer RNA (tRNA) molecules are approximately 80 nucleotides in length.
Source: RNAcentral
GCGGGCGUAGUUCAAUUGGUAGAACCUGAGCGUCUUCCUUCUUCGUUUGUAGCUAAGACCUGGAGAAGGUAAUGAUACCCAGAUAUGUCGGUUCAAGACCGACCGCCCGCU